CGGGACGUGGCCCAGCCUGGUUCAGGGCGCCUGCUCGGGAUGCAGGAGGUCGCGGGUUCGAAUCCCGCCGUUCCGA
RNAcentral lists this transfer RNA (76 nucleotides) under Myxococcales bacterium. Its description in RNAcentral is "tRNA-Pro". It matches the Rfam family "tRNA". Rfam says of the family: Transfer RNA (tRNA) molecules are approximately 80 nucleotides in length. Their secondary structure includes four short double-helical elements and three loops (D, anti-codon, and T loops). Further hydrogen bonds mediate the characteristic L-shaped molecular structure. tRNAs have two regions of fundamental functional importance: the anti-codon, which is responsible for specific mRNA codon recognition, and the 3' end, to which the tRNAs corresponding amino acid is attached (by aminoacyl-tRNA synthetases). tRNAs cope with the degeneracy of the genetic code in two manners: having more than one tRNA (with a specific anti-codon) for a particular amino acid; and 'wobble' base-pairing, i.e. permitting non-standard base-pairing at the 3rd anti-codon position. The record is from RNAcentral. Lineage: Bacteria; Pseudomonadati; Myxococcota; Myxococcia; Myxococcales.